AUAAACCUAAGCAGUCAUCAUAAAAGGCCGCUGGGUGGCGCCAGUGUACAAAGUGCGGUUCACCCAGCAGGUGGAGAAGGUGGUCUUGGAUUGGGGACGUGACGUCAGGCAUUCAGGUGAAUUGAAGACCGGUGUGCACGAGAGGAGUUAUCAAAUACAGGUGAAGCAAGAUGGCGGACGACAGCGCGGCAUUCUCUCAGGAUUUUCGACCUUGGAGGACGCAGUCGCGUUUGAGGUUUGAGCACAGCACGUCACAAUUCACUCUUUUGCUUCAUUCAGCACGGUGCUUGGGUUCUUUUGCCGCUCGUAUUACAUCUAUUUUUUUCAUGCUAGCCAGCUCGUUUGCAUUCUAAGUACUAUAAAAGACACACGUGGUGGCUUUAUAUUAGUGGAUUGACCUAUAAAAGUGGCCUUUUGUUUGAAUGUUUGACUAAUUAUCUGCUCUUACGAAGUUUACUGUGCAUGCAAAAUGUUUUUUCACUCCCUUAUAUGAAGAAGGCCUAUUGUAUUGGAGUGUUUCAUUUUGCCAAUUGUUUGUGACUUUUGUCAAAUCCUUGACGCUUCAAACCCCUUCCGCUCCAAAUAAAGCCAUAUUAAAUGACUAGAUAAAUAAAUGCAUAGAUAAAUACAUAAACCAUUAAAAAUAUACAUAAAUGAAUAAAUGCAUAGAUAACUAAAUACAUGAAAACACCAAUA
This is a long non-coding RNA of Syngnathus acus (greater pipefish), 696 nucleotides long. RefSeq lists it as uncharacterized. NCBI's taxonomy places the organism in Eukaryota, Metazoa, Chordata, Actinopteri, Syngnathiformes, Syngnathidae. The record is from RefSeq and is a predicted model, not a curated record. The transcript has 2 exons.